UUUAUUCAGAUCAUCAUCUCAUUCUCAUCGAUGGGGCAGAGGAAUCCUUUUUGCUUCAACAAACGUUUUCUGCUUUGUGAAAGUAACAUGAGCACAUGGAGAAACAUUGAGACGGGGCUCACGAUAUGCGGUCCAAUCCUCUCUCGUGAUGCCGGGCAGGGCAGUGAGCCAUAGCUCCCAGUCGGCCCCACAGUCACCAGGGAGAACUGCUGAUACACUGACAGGCGUUCUGGACCCAGGCAACCAUCCUGUUCUUCCCUGUCGGCACGGUGUCAAUAGAUGACAUGAUGCAGAAAUCUUUGUGGAUGUUUAUUUUCCUCAAGAAGGCGGUUGAAGGCAGAAGGCCUCUGAGAAGCUGGAAAAAAUGCCAAUCAGAGUAACAGAAAAGUGUUUCCUACCCUUACAAUUGCCAAAUCUUGAAGUAAAUGAAUUAUAAUUAACUAUUUUUCUUUAACUUACAUAAUUUUGUAAAAACCUUAAACAUGGUUGUUUCAUUUGGAGAAAAAAUACCCAUGAAUUCAUGGUUCUGAUGAAUUAGUAAUAUGUGUGCUUUUUCAAAUGUGUGUAAAUACGUAAUAAAUACUAAAAAGUUUUUGAAAGCACAACUUUAUCCACAUACCACCUACAAUAAUCUUGAAAACCAACAGAGGUGCUUGUGCUAAACAUUUGAAAAUGCUGGGGUGUCAGAUACCGGUGGUUACCAUGCCUAUUGCCAUUUCUUCCUUCCUUUCCACUGAUGGAACCCUGUGUUUGUUCUGCUGGUCAUGUACCCAGGCCUGGGAA
Molecule: long non-coding RNA, 783 nt
Organism: Dama dama (fallow deer)
Lineage: Eukaryota; Metazoa; Chordata; Mammalia; Artiodactyla; Cervidae
Exons: 3
Source: RefSeq, a predicted model, not a curated record